GUCCACGCCCUAAACGAUGUCAACUGGUUGUUGGGAAUUAUUUCUCAGUAACGAAGCUAACGCGUGAAGUUGACCGCCUGGGGAGUACGGCCGCAAGGUUAAACUCAAGGAAUUGACGGGACCCGCACAAGCGGUGGAUGAUGUUCUUUAAUUCGAUGCAACGCGAAACCUUACCCACCUUUGACAUGUAUGGAAUCCUUUAGAGAUGAAGGAGUGCUCGAAAGAGAGCCAUAACACAGGUGCUGCAUGGCUGUCGU
Molecule: ribosomal RNA, 257 nt
Filed under: uncultured bacterium
Lineage: Bacteria
Description: partial 16S ribosomal RNA
Rfam family: Bacterial small subunit ribosomal RNA
Source: RNAcentral